Schistosoma mattheei is the source of this 46-nucleotide non-coding RNA. The record is from Rfam. Lineage: Eukaryota; Metazoa; Platyhelminthes; Trematoda; Strigeidida; Schistosomatidae.
GCACGACUGGGGAGUCCCAUAAUAGGACGAAACGGCCGUCCAGUGC